AACAUACCUAAAACGUUGCUUCGGCGGGAACAGACGGCCCCGUAAGACGGGCCGCCCCCGCCAGAGGACCCCUAACUCUGUUGCUAUAUGUAUCUUCUGAGUAAACAAGCAAAUAAAUUAAAACUUUCAACAACGGAUCUCUUGGCUCUGGCAUCGAUGAAGAACGCAGCGAAAUGCGAUAAGUAAUGUGAAUUGCAGAAUUCAGUGAAUCAUCGAAUCUUUGAACGCACAUUGCGCCCGCCAGUAUUCUGGCGGGCAUGCCUGUUCGAGCGUCAUUACAACCCUCAGGCCCCCGGGCCUGGCGUUGGGGAUCGGCGAGGCGCCCCCCGCGGGCACGCGCCGUCCCCCAAAUACAGUGGCGGUCCCGCCGCAGCUUCCAUUGCGUAGUAGCUAACACCUCGCAACUGGAGAGCGGCGCGGCCAUGCCGUAAAACACCCAACUUCUGAA
RNAcentral lists this unclassified non-coding RNA (448 nucleotides) under Fusarium solani. RNAcentral describes it as "sequence contains 18S rRNA gene, ITS1, 5.8S rRNA gene, ITS2, 28S rRNA gene". The stretch from base 122 to 275 matches the Rfam family "5.8S ribosomal RNA". The record is from RNAcentral. Lineage: Eukaryota; Fungi; Ascomycota; Sordariomycetes; Hypocreales; Nectriaceae.